CCUACGGGAGGCAGCAGUGGGGAAUAUUGGACAAUGGGGGGAACCCUGAUCCAGCGACGCCGCGUGAGUGAAGAAGUAUUUCGGUAUGUAAAGCUCUAUCAGCAGGGACGAAAGAAAUGACGGUACCUGACUAAGAAGCCCCGGCUAACUACUUGCCAGCAGCCGCGGUAAUACGGAGGGGGCAAGCGUUAUCCGGAUUUACUGGGUGUAAAGGGAGCGUAGACGGCGAUGCAAGUCUGAAGUGAAAGGCGGGGGCCCAACCCCCGGACUGCUUUGGAAACUGUAUGGCUGGAGUGCAGGAGAGGUAAGUGGAAUUCCUAGUGUAGCGGUGAAAUGCGUAGAUAUUAGGAGGAACACCAGUGGCGAAGGCGGCUUACUGGACUGUAACUGACGUUGAGGCUCGAAAGCGUGGGGAGCAAACAGGAUUAGAUACCCCUGUAGUC
This 443-nucleotide ribosomal RNA is filed under the name uncultured bacterium. Its description in RNAcentral is "partial 16S ribosomal RNA". It matches the Rfam family "Bacterial small subunit ribosomal RNA", at positions 338 to 795 of the family's 1533-position model. The record is from RNAcentral.